RNAcentral lists this ribosomal RNA (200 nucleotides) under uncultured bacterium. Its description in RNAcentral is "partial 16S ribosomal RNA". It matches the Rfam family "Bacterial small subunit ribosomal RNA", at positions 28 to 243 of the family's 1533-position model. The record is from RNAcentral.
GACGAACGCUGGCGGCGUGGAUUAGGCAUGCAAGUUGAGCGACGGUUAAGGGCUUGCCCUUAAUACGGAGCAGCGAACGGGUGAGUAACGCGUGGGAAUGUGCCCUUUGGUACGGAACAACUGAGGGAAACUUCAGCUAAUACCGUAUGUGCCCUUCGGGGGAAAGAUUUAUCGCCAUUGGAGCAGCCCGCGUUGGAUUA